UAUUUUUUAAGUAUAUGCAUUUUCCUUAAUUUCAAAUUAAGAUGGGUAAGAGCAAGAAGAUUUUCAUUGCCCUCCUUACCAUCCUCCUCAUCAUUUUGGUUAUGGUAGUGCCUCCAACAUCUGCUCGUCCAAUGAGAAAAUGCGUAUUUCCAUGUCCAAGUCGACCAGGACCAGGAGGACCAGGGAAGCGCAGAUGAGUGAGUAAUAACAAUAUGAAGUCCCCGCUGAGAAGCUCAAAUAAAUAUUAUAACCCUGUGGAACUGAAGAUGCUAUCCUUUGUUUCUUUUCUUUUCUGUUGGACUUUAAUGCUAAAGAGAGUUACAUUCUCUUCUUUUUGGUGUUGAUAUAGAUCACACCAUUAAUUUUAG
Molecule: unclassified non-coding RNA, 368 nt
Filed under: Hevea brasiliensis (rubber tree)
Lineage: Eukaryota; Viridiplantae; Streptophyta; Magnoliopsida; Malpighiales; Euphorbiaceae
Source: RNAcentral